GACGAACGCUGGCGGCGUGCUUAACACAUGCAAGUCGAACGAUGAAGCCAGCUUGCUGGUGGAUUAGUGGCGAACGGGUGCGUAACACGUGGGUGAUCUGCCCCAAACUUUGGGAUAAGCCUGGGAAACUGGGUCUAAUACCGAAUAUGACCGAUACUCGCAUGGGUGUUGGUGGAAAGCUCCGUCGGUUUGGGAUGGGCCCGCGGCCUAUCAGCUUGUUGGUGGGGUAAUGGCCUACCAAGGCGACGACGGGUAGCCGGCCUGAGAGGGCGACCGGCCACACUGGGACUGAGACACGGCCCAGACUCCUACGGGAGGCAGCAGUGGGGAAUAUUGCACAAUGGGCGCAAGCCUGAUGCAGCGACGCCGCGUGAAGGAUGACGGCCUUCGGGUUGUAAACCUCUUUCACCAGGGACGAAGCGAAAGUGACGGUACCUGGAGAAGAAGCACCGGCAAACUACGUG
This 464-nucleotide ribosomal RNA is filed under the name uncultured bacterium. Its description in RNAcentral is "partial 16S ribosomal RNA". It matches the Rfam family "Bacterial small subunit ribosomal RNA", at positions 28 to 507 of the family's 1533-position model. The record is from RNAcentral.